This is a long non-coding RNA of Equus caballus (horse), 5677 nucleotides long. NCBI's taxonomy places the organism in Eukaryota, Metazoa, Chordata, Mammalia, Perissodactyla, Equidae. The record is from Ensembl.
CUUGGAAGUCAGCCAGAAAGUCAUGAGCAUCUUCAAACAGCCUUAGGUUGACACCUACAUCUCUGUGGCAAGAAAUGGAAGCCUCUGGCCAACAGCAAGUGAGGACCAGAGACCUAUUGCCAACCAGCCCCAUGAGUGAGUUUGGAGGAGAUCUUCCAGCUCCAGUCAAGCCUUCAGUCUACAACUUGAUUGUAACCUCGUUAGGAACCCUGAGCCAGAACCAUCCAGAUAAGUCGUUCCCAGAUUCAUGGCCCAUACAAACUUGAUAUAACAAAUGUUUAUUCUUUUAGGUUUUGGGGUAAUUGGUUAUAGAGCAGUAGAUAACUCAUACAUCUUCUAAGGGGUGUUUAUGUCUCAAAGUGGAGUGACCAGUGGUGAAGAUGAUGUAUAGCUGCGUGGUGUAACUGGGCAUCUAGCCAGUUGCUGUGCUGGAAGCCAGACCUAGAAGUGUUGGCAAGGGAGGAUGGAGUUCAACUUAAUGAGUUGAAUAAAUUUAAGACAAUUUAUUCUUUCAAAAUUAUUAGAUUAUUCUUGGCAGAUAUUAGUAGCCUCGAAUACAGUGGUUCUCAACCUGGAGAAUUUCCAAAAUAGUGAUGCCUGGGUCCCACUCCUAGAAACUCUGAACUAAUUGCACCAGGGUAUAGUCUGGGCAUCAGGAUUUAAAAAGUUUCCCAGGUGAUUGUAAGGUGCAGCUGAAACUGAGAACUGCUGCUUUCCAAGUGAGAAGGUGGAAAGAGUAAUGUUGCCUCCCCAACAUCUCUCUGCCAGAUGGUAAAUUACAAUGAAAGCAAGUCUCAGACCAAAUUUGCAAAGCAAAUAUUUACAGGCAAGCAGAAACAGACGUUAAACUUUUCUGAAGUCUCAAUAAAGUCACGGAUCCCUAUCCUUUUAGGCAUGCUAGACAGGCACGGGGCGUGAAGGAUUUGCUUAGGACAGAUGCUGUAAUAUUCCAGGGACAAAAUUCAGCGAAACUUCUGGUCACAUCCUGUGCCCGCCAGUCUUCCCUUAAGAGGCCCCGGCCCUUCUGCAGUGGGUGCUGGGCUCGCCAGGUGCUCAGCCCUCUUUGUAGAAGCGGGGAGGUACCUAUGCAGGACUCACACCAGCUCCCCCACAUAUUUUGAGCACCAUUCAUUUCCAGAAUGGAAAAAAAAAAUCUUUAAUAUUCAUGAUGCUGUCUAACAAAACACUUAGUGCUGAUUUAAGCUGAAGAGAGUAGAAGAUCUUGUGGCAGCAGCCUCUUAAGGAUGGACAUUGACGAAAGCCCCAGUUUCUCAGCCCCGGAUGCACAUAGAGAGCCACUGAAGAAACUUAACAAAGACCCCAGCCCCGUCCCCAGUCAAAUUAAAUCAGAAACUCUGAGGAUGGAGCCUGGGCACUGGCAGUUUUUAAGAGCCUCUCAACAAAUCAUGAUUGCCAGGGGUUAGGGUGGCGGGGAGGUGUGACCCUAAAGGGAUAGGAUACAUGAGGGAGUUUUGUGGAUGGUGAAACUCUUCUGUGUUCUGAUUGUGAGAGUGUUACAAAAAUCUAUACAUGUAUUAACACUCAAAGAACUGUACAACAAAAGGGGAGAAAUGGUUAAUCUUGUAUGAUAAUUAAAAAAAUAUCACAACUUUUAAUUCUUUUUAAAAGCCUCCGAUGAUUCUAGCAUACAGCAGGGUUGGGAGUCACUGCAUUAGAUUCUUUCAAGAGCUGAUCCACCAUCUCUGGGAUGUUCCUGCACAGUUGGGGCCCUGUUAGUGUUAUCUUCCUAAGUUAACAACCUCCUCUAACCACACAUAUGCACACAUCCAUGUAUAGAAUACACCAUAUUGUCAAUGCUGAAGUCUUUCAAGGAAAAUUAUGAAUACUGUAAUAGUGAGAUAUAGCUUCCUCUCAGAUUCACACUGGGGGAACUUCAGAAGAUUGCAGUGGGCAAUUGCACGCAUCAAUACUUCUAUUAAUCUCUGCUCUUGGAGAAAAAACUCACAAUGCAAUUGUUUUGCCUCAAAACAAUGUUUCUCAAACCGAUAAAGUGUGGUUUUUAUAGGAUAACGAAGAAUCCCAAAAGGAGAGUAAUUUGGCAGUUUAAUUGGUUUCAUUUCUGAGUAGGAUCACAGGAAGCAAUAAAUACAUUUUAUUUCACAAAACAGUGUGCAUGGAUAUGUGUGUAUAUAUCAUAUAAAUGAAGCAGAAGUUUCAAGAAGAACUUGUGCCCUUCCUAUUUUAUUCUAUUCCAUGGCAGUGUUGGUCCUGACUCAGUAUCUCGCUAUCAUAAUGCAUAUAAUGGUGAGAACAUCACAAUUUGAAUAUUCUGGGAGAAUCCCAACAGGUGUCUCUGCUCCUUCCCGCCAUGAGGCAAGGAGACAAGGAGAUGGAUAGGAAUUCGUCUCUUGGCUGCACCAUUCUCUAACUUUCUGAAGUUAGGCAGGUUUCCUGAUCUUUAUGUGUUUCCAUUUGCUCCCUCGUAAAAUGGGAAUAAUGGCAGCAGCCUUCAGGCUGUGCUUGGGAUCACCGAAUCCUCAUCAGAUGUGCACAACUCCUAAGGUUCUUUUCCCUUCAUCCACAUUUAAGACUCACUGAGGAAGAGGCUGGACAUGGAAGCCCCGAGCUGUUUCUUAGCUCGGAGGCCAGAAGACUAACCCUGAAUUUAUUGUCUUUUUCCUUAGAAUGAUGUUGCGUGGUAGGCAGGUCUUACCAGAACUUUCAAUAUAUGAAAUAUUCAAAGAACUUAAAAACAGUAUAAAUUCUUUAAUCUCCAGUGAUUUGGGACACUCUGGCUGGAGGCAGAAGAAUAAAGUAAGCAGUUGUCUGGCCAACGGGAACUGAGAAGUAAUCCAAGCUGAUCUGCCCUGUCCACAGCCUGAUUUUAAAAUGAUCAGGAGAGUGUCACUUUUAUGGAUUUGCCUUGUGGAAAACCAACAGCAUAUGAGGAAAAGGAGACGAUUAUCUUCACUAAGAAAAAAAUUGUGCAAACAGUCUCAGUGCACAGGCAUGGCCACACAAACACAUAAACAGCCCUGGUUGAAUUUCUCGCCAUUAACCCACGUCCAGGGCAUCCCAGGGCAUCUGGGGACCUAGCAAACUAAGCAGCGUUUAUUCAGAUAUUCACUAGGGAACUUUCUAAAACUUUAGAGACAUGGAAACAUAUGCUCUAUGUACAGACAUGUAAAUCGUGCAAAAUGCAAGUGAACACCGAGAAGUCAACCACAAGGCAAAGCAGCUACUUCGUUCUGCCUCUCGCUUCUGUGAUUGGGGCGGGGACCCUGGAGGGCGGUUGUCUCAUGGCAGCCAGCCCUGUUCUUUAUUCGCAACCUGGACAGCAGUUCUCAUUCACGAACAUGUGCUAUUUAGCCCAAGACCAGAAGUUUUCUAUUCAAGCCAAGACCAGAAAUUUUCCAAGACAUGGAGGAAAGCACAGCGACCCUGAUGCAAUGUUUGUGGUUAAAUUAGGGUAGUUCAAUUGAUUUAAGUCUCCGGGAUGGCUUUUAGAUUGAAAAGCCUGCUAAUCCUGAGAGUAAAGCAGGUGUUGGUUUGCAACCCAGGAGUUCCCAGUUGAAAUCCGAAACUGGCCCCCGUACACGGCAGGCAAGGACAGACCCAUGACAGAGGCAGGCCACUCCAGAUUGGUAGGCGGUAGGUUUAAUAAGCAAGGGAACUGACAUACAAGGCUUGUCUUGGAUGGCUACAAGAUGAGUAGAUGUCCACACCGGCUCCACAGAAUCUUAAAAGUUUAUAUAGAGGCCUUAACUGGGUUGAGUCAUGUAUCCUGUCCAGAUGGCCUCAACGCCUUACUCUCUCAAGGCUGUACCCUUGAAAUAGCUCCUAGUGUGGGAAUGGUGGACAGAAUGUACCUUCCAAGGACAGAUGCGGGUGUGAGGGACCCCUGCUUGCCUGGGACCAGCUCACAGAUCAACCAGCGGCCACAUCCCCUUGAAGACUCCUCCAACAGCAGGAGAAAUAUGUUAUUUGAAGUGUGACAAAAUUCCUAAGGUGGCUAAAGAGCACAAUCCAUGUUUAAUAAGAAGGAAACUGGAUCGGGAGGAAAAUCAGCUGUAAUGUACAUUUAGAAAGGGAAGAAAUGCCAGUGUUGAACCUGGAAAUAUAGGUUUAAGUCUGCUUGAGGUCACGCAGGAGGGGACUGCAAAAGGAAAUCUUGGCUUCUCACUUUGAAAACGCAUUUGAAUUUAAUGUGUACACUCACAUUGAAGUUUUGACUCUUGCAUACUACCACUUGGUUACACCACAGGACAGCCCGGGUCAGGAGCAUCUGUGUCUGGACGCCCUGGGGCCCUUUUCCUGGCCUCUGGGAGUAUCUCCAGUGCAAUAUCUCACUGGGCUGCUGUAACUUCAAUGAACCAUAGAGGUACUUCCUACUUGUUCUUUUCCCUUCUUGUUGUUAUUGGUUUCUUCUUUUUUUUGCUAACCAGCUUUCCAAUAUUUGAAACGUCCUUACCUGAACACUAGAACUUGAAGACCUGAAGUCCUCAAUCAGGAAUGAAUGAUUUGGCGCAGGGUUCUGGGUGGGUGAAGCAGUUCACCCACCUCCACAAAAUCUCAGGUCACUAACGUGCAUAUUACUGAAUCUGCUGCUGAGUAAGAGCCAGAGGAUGCUGGCUGCUUCGAGGCUGGGGGAUGAGGAAGGAGGGCUGCAGAUGGAUUUGCCUAAAGCCCGCACACCUUGUUUGCCUUCAGCUGGAUACCGUUCCAGGAUAUGUGUAAACGUAUAGAUGAUGCCAAGAGCAAACUGAAUGUUUAUGUCCCCUCUCCCUGAUGUGAGGACACAGUGACAAGGUGGCCAUGUAUGAAUCAAGAAGCCAGCUCUCACCAGAUGCUGAACCUGCCUGCACCUUGAUCUUGGACUUCUCAGCCUCUAGAACUCAGAAACAAAUGUUUGUUGGUGAAGCCCCCAGUCUAUGGAUUUCUGUUAUAGCAGGUGGAACUGACUAAGUACUUACUCAUAGGAUUGUUGUAAGGAUUAAAUUGAUUAAUUCUUCAAAAAUUGUUACUCCGUGGAAGAAUUUAGGACAGUGCCUGACACAUCAUUACUGCUCAAAAGAUCUUAGUUAUUACACCCAUAAUCAUUACUGGGGCAGGAUCUAGGCUAUGAAUCCUCCGUUCACCACUUCUUGUCUCUAUGACAUUGGUGAACUUCUCUGUGCCUCAGUUUCCUCAUCUGUAAAAUGAUGAUAAAAGUACCUGCUUAACAGGGUCAUAGUGAGUAUUAAACAAACACAAGAGAGCAGAGAGCUCAGCGCAUGCCUGGUGUGCACGGAGCCCUCUGUGAUACUCUUGGCUGCUGUUAGCUGUCUGAGAAUCGCCAAAGGAUUGCUCUGUGGUUGUCCUUUUAUAUCUAAGAGAUAAUUUUAUGGAAUCUACAAAAACUGUAGAAUGACAGGUUUAGAAUGAGUUUUAAUGUAAAUAUUGAAAUGAACUAAGGAGAAACACUGAAAACACAAGGGUCCGAAUAGAGAAUGAUGCGAAUCCCAACUGCUGACUAUAUGUAGAGAGAAGGCAGUUUUGAAAACGCUGAACUGAUACAGUUAAAUUCUAGUUGCCAGUGAGCGCUCUUUCUGAGGAACUAGUAAUUGCCGUUCAUUGUCCUCAGACUCGAAGCAAGUGUUGCUUCAGGGAAUGUGGGUGCUCCAAAGAACAAAGAAGUAAUUGUUCACUUGGAAGAAUUUUUAAAAUUUACAUGUGC